CUCCCUUUGGUGUUUUAAGACCUUGGAUGC
RNAcentral lists this non-coding RNA (30 nucleotides) under Rattus norvegicus (Norway rat). Lineage: Eukaryota; Metazoa; Chordata; Mammalia; Rodentia; Muridae. The record is from RNAcentral.